RNAcentral lists this ribosomal RNA (253 nucleotides) under uncultured bacterium. RNAcentral describes it as "partial 16S ribosomal RNA". It matches the Rfam family "Bacterial small subunit ribosomal RNA", at positions 524 to 776 of the family's 1533-position model. The record is from RNAcentral.
AACGGAGGGUGCAAGCGUUGUUCGGAAUUACUGGGCGUAAAGCGCGUGCAGGUGGUUUUCUAAGUUUCGUGUGAAAUCCCAUGGCUCAACCAUGGAACGGCACGGAAAACUGGAAGACUUGAAUACGGGAGAAGAGGGCGGAAUUCCCAGUGUAGAGGUGAAAUUCGUAGAUAUUGGGAGGAACACCGGUGGCGAAAGCGGCUCUCUAGACCGAUAUUGACGCUCAUACGCGAGAGCGUGGGUAGCAAACAGG